RNAcentral lists this ribosomal RNA (444 nucleotides) under uncultured bacterium. RNAcentral describes it as "SSU rRNA". It matches the Rfam family "Bacterial small subunit ribosomal RNA", at positions 26 to 518 of the family's 1533-position model. The record is from RNAcentral.
AGAACGAACGCUGGCGGCAGGCUUAACACAUGCAAGUCGAGCGCCCCGCAAGGGGAGCGGCAGACGGGUGAGUAACGCGUGGGAACAUACCCUCCGGUUCGGAAUAGCUCAGGGAAACUUGGAUUAAUACCGGAUACGGCCUAGCGGCGAAAGAUUCAUCACCGGAGGAUUGGCCCGCGUUCGAUUAGCUAGUUGGUGAGGUAACGGCUCACCAAGGCGACGAUCGAUAGCUGGUCUGAGAGGAUGAUCAGCCACAUUGGGACUGAGACACGGCCCAAACUCCUACGGGAGGCAGCAGUGGGGAAUAUUGGACAAUGGGCGCAAGCCUGAUCCAGCCAUGCCGCGUGAGUGAUGACGGCCUUAGGGUUGUAAAGCUCUUUCGCUAGGGACGAUAAUGACGGUACCUAGACAAGAAGCCCCGGCUAACUUCGUGCCAGCAGCCGC